GAUGAACGCUGGCGGCGUGCCUAAUACAUGCAAGUCGAGCGAACAGACGAGGAGCUUGCUCCUCUGACGUUAGCGGCGGACGGGUGAGUAACACGUGGAUAACCUACCUAUAAGACUGGGAUAACUUCGGGAAACCGGAGCUAAUACCGUAUAACAUGUUGAACCGCAUGGUUCAACAGUGAAAGACGGUCUUGCUGUCACUUAUAGAUGGAUCCGCGCCGCAUUAGCUAGUUGGUAAGGUAACGGCUUACCAAGGCAACGAUGCGAAGCCGACCUGAGAGGGUGAUCGGCCACACUGGAACUGAGACACGGUCCAGACUCCUACGGGAGGCAGCAGUAGGGAAUCUUCCGCAAUGGGCGAAAGCCUGACGGAGCAACGCCGCGUGAGUGAAGAAGGUCUUCGGAUCGUAAAACUCUGUUAUUAGGGAAGAACAAAUGUGUAAGUAACUAUGCACGUCUUGACGGUACCUAAUCAGAAAGCCACGGCUAACUACGUG
This 497-nucleotide ribosomal RNA is filed under the name uncultured bacterium. RNAcentral describes it as "partial 16S ribosomal RNA". It matches the Rfam family "Bacterial small subunit ribosomal RNA", at positions 28 to 507 of the family's 1533-position model. The record is from RNAcentral.